This 101-nucleotide non-coding RNA is filed under the name Paenibacillus sp. RNAcentral describes it as "Guanine sequence". It matches the Rfam family "Purine riboswitch aptamer". Rfam says of the family: Riboswitches are metabolite binding domains within certain messenger RNAs that serve as precision sensors for their corresponding targets. Allosteric rearrangement of mRNA structure is mediated by ligand binding, and this results in modulation of gene expression. Lineage: Bacteria; Bacillati; Bacillota; Bacilli; Caryophanales; Paenibacillaceae. RNAcentral also lists the same sequence under 1 other name. The record is from RNAcentral.
AUCAAAAGGAAAAUAGCGAUUCGUAUAAUUUCGGGAAUAGGCCCGGAAGUUUCUACGAGAUCACCGUAAAUGAUCUGGCUACGAACAAACGAAGGAUGACA